CCUACGGGAGGCAGCAGUGGGGGAUAUUGCACAAUGGGGGAAACCCUGAUGCAGCGACGCCGCGUGAGUGAAGAAGUAUCUCGGUAUGUAAAGCUCUAUCAGCAGGGAAGAAAAUGACAGUACCUGACCAAGAAGCCCCGGCUAACUACGUGCCAGCAGGCGCGGGUACACGUGGGGGGCAAGCGUUAUCCGGAUUUACUGGGCGUAAAGGGAGCGUAGGGGGUUAUGAAAGUCCGGAGUGAAAGCACGGGGGCCAACCCCGGGACUGCAUUGGAAACUGUGUAACUGGAGUGCAGGAGAGGCAUGCGGAAUGCGUGGUGUAGCGGUGAAAUGCAUAGAUAUCAGGAAGAACACCGACGGCGAAGGCAGCCUGCUGGACUGCAACUGACGUUGAGGCUCGAAAGCGUGGGGAGCGAACAGGAUUAGAUACCCCGGUAGUC
RNAcentral lists this ribosomal RNA (440 nucleotides) under uncultured bacterium. RNAcentral describes it as "partial 16S ribosomal RNA". It matches the Rfam family "Bacterial small subunit ribosomal RNA", at positions 338 to 795 of the family's 1533-position model. The record is from RNAcentral.